This 511-nucleotide ribosomal RNA is filed under the name uncultured bacterium. Its description in RNAcentral is "partial 16S ribosomal RNA". It matches the Rfam family "Bacterial small subunit ribosomal RNA", at positions 28 to 523 of the family's 1533-position model. The record is from RNAcentral.
GACGAACGCUGACGGCGUGCUUAACACAUGCAAGUCGAACGGAGAUUCAGCAAUGGAUCUUAGUGGCGAACGGGUGAGUAACGCGUAGGCAAUCUGCCUUCUAGAUGGGGACAACAUCCCGAAAGGGGUGCUAAUACCGAAUGUUGUACCGUUUCCGCAUGGAGAUGAUACUAAAGGUGGCCUCUGAAUAUACUACCGCUAGAAGAUGAGCCUGCGUCUGAUUAGCUAGUUGGAGGGGUAACGGCCACCAAGGCUUCGAUCAGUAGCCGGUCUGAGAGGAUGAACGGCCACACUGGGACUGAGACACGGCCCAGACUCCUACGGGAGGCAGCAGUGGGGAAUCUUCCGCAAUGGACGAAAGUCUGACGGAGCAACGCCGCGUGAGUGAAGAAGGUUUUCGGAUCGUAAAGCUCUUUCGUUAGGGACGAACGUGCUCUUUGUGAAUAAUGAGGAGUAAUGACGGUACCUAAAUAAGAAGCCACGGCUAACUACGUGCCAGCCGCCGCCGUAA